This is a small nucleolar RNA of 142 nucleotides. It matches the Rfam family "Small nucleolar RNA snR80".
UAACGUUUGCUACACUCUGGGACUUAGUUUAAUUCCACACUAUUUCCCUAUUUACGUACAAACAAGAUAGACUUUAGGACACCUACUCACCGAGAUAGCCGAAAAUUUCGUGGUUAUGUUGGUCCAUUUCAGUGUCAGACAU